UGUACUGAUCAAACCUCUCUCCACUUUUGAAAAAGCCGCAUUUUGAUCAUAAUCUGUUUUCUUUUUCAGAGGCACCUGGUAGAGAAAUUUCAUACUACUUCAUGGAAUCCCAUUUCUCGUGCCGUCUGCUUCAUUCACGCGUGGAUUUCUUGGUUGGUGUGGUUGAUCCAGAGCUGGUUGGUCGUUCGAUACGUGUUCCUUUUCCUUUGUGGAUAUCUUCAAAAAUUCAAAUUUUGUGUAUCACUGAAAUAGAAUCAGCAUCAUGGUUGUCCUUCCAGGAGGAAAAUGACUUGACGGUCAAUACAAGGGUAAAGAAAAUGACAACAAAUUCUAUUAUGGUGGUCAUCACAGAUUACAUGCAAGUUAUUUUUACAUAGCAUUUUGAGAAUUCAUCAUGUAGGGUGCAAUAGUUUUUAUUAUUUUUUUGUUAAUUGAGAUUUUCUUUUAGAUUUUGCAUUUAGACUGAAUGAGAGCCAUCCGUCUGUCCUUUAAAGGAAAAAGAAAAGGCCAACACCACCAACACAGUCAACAAAGUUCUUCGUUUGUUGAUUUGUUGGCUUUAACCACUUCAAUCCCCAUUCCUAUAUCCUUGGAAUGGGCCCACUCUUAUUUUGAGGUUAAUCCUGCGCCGCUAUUCCAUGGACGGAAUUCAUUCGUGGAAACUGACGAAAGAUCAGUGACGACUGCCUAACGUGCUGACAUUCAGCAAUAAAGCUCACAUGCGUGCCAUCCUUCCGUCGCUUCGAGGCAUGGUUGUGCCUGCUCCAGCGUAAUUCGACUACCCAACUGACGCGCGGCUUGUCAACUCACCCCUCGCUGACACCUACUACCCUUCCUGUCGUCUCUCAACAUAGCACGGGGUUCUAAAUUACAGAUUUCUACAUUUGUAUGACAGAUUUCAUGAAAAGUCAUGUCCUUUGAAGAAAAAUGACAAUGACUCUGAAGUAUACAGUCAAAAAGGUCCCUUGUUUGGUAAUUUGUUGGCUGCUAACUUAGAAUCUCACCUGUUAUUUCCUUAAACGGGCCCUCAUUUGAGGCUAACUCCUUCGCUACUUAUCGUGGACUUCAUCCAUUGCCGAAAACCGACGAGAGCAUGCUGUCAUUCAAGACUUAUAUAUUGUGUAGUUAGUUAAACUACAAGUGCAUUUCUGGGCUCCCUUCUUUUCUGCGGCCCCGUUUCCCUAACUAACCACUAACCAACGCCCGCCGGUGGUCACUCACC
This 1222-nucleotide long non-coding RNA is filed under the name Daphnia pulicaria. Its description in RNAcentral is "uncharacterized LOC124350291, transcript variant X4". The record is from RNAcentral. Lineage: Eukaryota; Metazoa; Arthropoda; Branchiopoda; Diplostraca; Daphniidae.